UGGGGAAUUUUGGACAAUGGGGGAAACCCUGAUCCAGCCAUCCCGUGUGUGCGAUGAAGGCCUUCGGGUUGUAAAGCACUUUUGGCAGGAAAGAAACGUCAUGGGUUAAUACCCCGUGAAACUGACGGUACCUGCAGAAUAAGCACCGGCUAACUACGUGCCAGCAGCCGCGGUAAUACGUAGGGUGCAAGCGUUAAUCGGAAUUACUGGGCGUAAAGCGUGCGCAGGCGGUUCGGAAAGAAAGAUGUGAAAUCCCAGAGCUCAACUUUGGAACUGCAUUUUUAACUACCGGGCUAGAGUGUGUCAGAGGGAGGUGGAAUUCCGCGUGUAGCAGUGAAAUGCGUAGAUAUGCGGAGGAACACCGAUGGCGAAGGCAGCCUCCUGGGAUAACACUGACGCUCAUGCACGAAAGCGUGGGGAGCAAACAGG
This 429-nucleotide ribosomal RNA is filed under the name Acidobacteriota bacterium. Its description in RNAcentral is "Acidobacteria bacterium partial 16S ribosomal RNA". It matches the Rfam family "Bacterial small subunit ribosomal RNA", at positions 355 to 776 of the family's 1533-position model. The record is from RNAcentral. Lineage: Bacteria; Pseudomonadati; Acidobacteriota.